GAUGAACGCUGGCGGCGUGCCUAAUACAUGCAAGUCGAGCGAACAGACGAGGAGCUUGCUCCUCUGACGUUAGCGGCGGACGGGUGAGUAACACGUGGAUAACCUACCUAUAAGACUGGGAUAACUUCGGGAAACCGGAGCUAAUACCGGAUAAUAUAUUGAACCGCAUGGUUCAAUAGUGAAAGACGGUUUUGCUGUCACUUAUAGAUGGAUCCGCGCCGCAUUAGCUAGUUGGUAAGGUAACGGCUUACCAAGGCAACGAUGCGUAGCCGACCUGAGAGGGUGAUCGGCCACACUGGAACUGAGACACGGUCCAGACUCCUACGGGAGGCAGCAGUAGGGAAUCUUCCGCAAUGGGCGAAAGCUUGACGGAGCAACGCCGCGUGAGUGAUGAAGGUCCUCGGAUCGUAAAACUCUGUUAUUAGGGAUGAACAAAUGUGUAAGUAACUAUGCACGUCUUGACGGUACCUAAUCAGAAAGCCACGGCUAACUACGUG
RNAcentral lists this ribosomal RNA (497 nucleotides) under uncultured bacterium. RNAcentral's name for it is "partial 16S ribosomal RNA". It matches the Rfam family "Bacterial small subunit ribosomal RNA", at positions 28 to 507 of the family's 1533-position model. The record is from RNAcentral.